AUACUUACCUGGCAGGGGAGAUACCAUCAUCACAAGGUGGUUUUCCCAGGGCGAGGCUUAUCCAUUGCACUCUGGAUGUGCUGACCCCUGCGAUUUCCCCAAAUGUGGGAAACUCGACUGCAUAAUUUGUGGUAGUGCGGGACUGCGUUCGCGCUUUCCCCUG
This 163-nucleotide small nuclear RNA is filed under the name Saimiri boliviensis boliviensis (Bolivian squirrel monkey). Its description in RNAcentral is "U1 spliceosomal RNA (ENSSBOG00000015373.1)". It matches the Rfam family "U1 spliceosomal RNA". Rfam says of the family: U1 is a small nuclear RNA (snRNA) component of the spliceosome (involved in pre-mRNA splicing). Its 5' end forms complementary base pairs with the 5' splice junction, thus defining the 5' donor site of an intron. Lineage: Eukaryota; Metazoa; Chordata; Mammalia; Primates; Cebidae. The record is from Rfam by way of RNAcentral.